CGGGACACGUGGUAUCCUGUCUGAAUAUGGGGGGACCAUCCUCCAAGGCUAAAUACUCCUGACUGACCGAUAGUGAACCAGUACCGUGAGGGAAAGGCGAAAAGAACCCCGGCGAGGGGAGUGAAAAAGAACCUGAAACCGUGUACGUACAAGCAGUGGGAGCACGCUUAGGCGUGUGACUGCGUACCUUUUGUAUAAUGGGUCAGCGACUUAUAUUCUGUAGCAAGGUUAACCGAAUAGGGGAGCCGAAGGGAAACCGAGUCUUAACUGGGCGUUAAGUUGCAGGGUAUAGACCCGAAACCCGGUGAUCUAGCCAUGGGCAGGUUGAAGGUUGGGUAACACUAACUGGAGGACCGAACCGACUAAUGUUGAAAAAUUAGCGGAUGACUUGUGGCUGGGGGUGAAAGGCCAAUCAAACCGGGAGAUAGCUGGUUCUCCCCGAAAGCUAUUUAGGUAGCGCCUCGUGAAUUCAUCUCCGGGGGUAGAGCACUGUUUCGGCAAGGGGGUCAUCCCGACUUACCAACCCGAUGCAAACUGCGAAUACCGGAGAAUGUUAUCACGGGAGACACACGGCGGGUGCUAACGUCCGUCGUGAAGAGGGAAACAACCCAGACCGCCAGCUAAGGUCCCAAAGUCAUGGUUAAGUGGGAAACGAUGUGGGAAGGCCCAGACAGCCAGGAUGUUGGCUUAGAAGCAGCCAUCAUUUAAAGAAAGCGUAAUAGCUCACUGGUCGAGUCGGCCUGCGCGGAAGAUGUAACGGGGCUAAACCAUGCACCGAAGCUGCGGCAGCGACGCUGAUGCGUUGUUGGGUAGGGGAGCGUUCUGUAAGCCUGUGAAGGUGUGCUGUGAGGCAUGCUGGAGGUAUCAGAAGUGCGAAUGCUGACAUAAGUAACGAUAAAGCGGGUGAAAAGCCCGCUCGCCGGAAGACCAAGGGUUCCUGUCCAACGUUAAUCGGGGCAGGGUGAGUCGACCCCUAAGGCGAGGCCGAAAGGCGUAGUCGAUGGGAAACAGGUUAAUAUUCCUGUACUUGGUGUUACUGCGAAGGGGGGACGGAGAAGGCUAUGUUGGCCGGGCGACGGUUGUCCCGGUUUAAGCGUGUAGGCUGGUUUUCCAGGCAAAUCCGGAAAAUCAAGGCUGAGGCGUGAUGACGAGGCACUACGGUGCUGAAGCAACA
Molecule: ribosomal RNA, 1174 nt
Filed under: Escherichia coli
Lineage: Bacteria; Pseudomonadati; Pseudomonadota; Gammaproteobacteria; Enterobacterales; Enterobacteriaceae
Description: partial 23S ribosomal RNA
Rfam family: Bacterial large subunit ribosomal RNA
Source: RNAcentral